Molecule: long non-coding RNA, 368 nt
Organism: Antechinus flavipes (yellow-footed antechinus)
Lineage: Eukaryota; Metazoa; Chordata; Mammalia; Dasyuromorphia; Dasyuridae
Exons: 2
Source: RefSeq, a predicted model, not a curated record
CUCUCCUCUAGGUCAGAGUUCAAACAAAAACUAUUACACAGAGAACCCAACAUUCAACUUGCAAUUUCUGGACCUCAAUCCAGCCUUCAGAACAUUGUCACAUCAUUUCCUGUAACUUCACUAACUUCAUGGGAUUUCCUGCAUCCCAGAGUUCAAGGCCUGAGAAUAAGGAUCGUGUGACUUAGUCUCAAACUGAGAAAACUUCAUCCAAUCAGUCCCAUUCAUAUGAAAUAAGAAGAUCAACUCUGACUCCCAAGUCUGUGAUCUAGAUGUUUAAGAAAAAAAACCUAUUAAUCAUGGAAGUCAACAAAAUUCAGUCAAACAGAUCAUUCUGGAAUUUUAAACUAAACUUCUAUUAGAUGCUUGGA